RNAcentral lists this ribosomal RNA (237 nucleotides) under uncultured bacterium. Its description in RNAcentral is "partial 16S ribosomal RNA". It matches the Rfam family "Bacterial small subunit ribosomal RNA", at positions 1264 to 1500 of the family's 1533-position model. The record is from RNAcentral.
CAAGCGGAUCUCUUAAAGCCGUUCUCAGUUCGGACUGUAGGCUGCAACUCGCCUACACGAAGCUGGAAUCGCUAGUAAUCGCGGAUCAGCACGCCGCGGUGAAUACGUUCCCGGGCCUUGUACACACCGCCCGUCACACCAUGAGAGUUGGGGAUACCCGAAGCCUGUGAGCUAACAGUAAUGAAGCAGCAGUCGAAGGUAGAAUCAAUGAUUGGGGUGAAGUCGUAACAAGGUAUC